This 70-nucleotide transfer RNA is filed under the name bovine gut metagenome. It matches the Rfam family "tRNA". Rfam says of the family: Transfer RNA (tRNA) molecules are approximately 80 nucleotides in length. Their secondary structure includes four short double-helical elements and three loops (D, anti-codon, and T loops). Further hydrogen bonds mediate the characteristic L-shaped molecular structure. tRNAs have two regions of fundamental functional importance: the anti-codon, which is responsible for specific mRNA codon recognition, and the 3' end, to which the tRNAs corresponding amino acid is attached (by aminoacyl-tRNA synthetases). tRNAs cope with the degeneracy of the genetic code in two manners: having more than one tRNA (with a specific anti-codon) for a particular amino acid; and 'wobble' base-pairing, i.e. permitting non-standard base-pairing at the 3rd anti-codon position. The record is from RNAcentral.
CGCUUAGCUCAGUUGGUUAGAGCACCUGCCUUACAAGCAGGGGGUCAUAGGUUCGAGUCCUAUAGUGUCC